Molecule: non-coding RNA, 1350 nt
Organism: Dipodomys spectabilis (banner-tailed kangaroo rat)
Lineage: Eukaryota; Metazoa; Chordata; Mammalia; Rodentia; Heteromyidae
Source: the annotation of a RefSeq genome assembly
UAAACAGAUAAGGAGCAUGAAGGGGCUUUGGGGCUCUCUAUUGGGACUUUUGUGCACCCAUAUUUGCUAUGUGAGAGGAAUUCAGGUGGAGCAGAGUCCUCCAGCCUUGCUUCUCCAGGAGGGAGAAAACGCCACGCUGCAAUGCAACUUUUCUAAUGCUGUGAACAAUGUGCAGUGGUUUUGCCAAUAUCCAAGAGGACACCUCAUCAACCUGUUUUACAUUGCUUCAGGAACAAAGCACAAUGGGAGACUCACAGCAACAACCAUCAACAAGGAACGCCGCACCUUGCUGUAUGUCUCCUCUGCCCAGAGCACAGACUCUGCCACUUACUUCUGUGCUGUGGUAGAUGUGAAUACAGGAAGCACAAACAGACUCACCUUUGGGAAAGGGACCCAGCUGAUGAUCCAUCCUCAUAUCAGAAACCCUGAGCCCUCGGUAUACCAGAUGAAAGACCCGAAAUUCCGAAACACCUCCAUCUGCCUGUUCACUGAUUUUGAUUCUCAGAUCAAUGUGACGCAGGGGUCUGAAGCCAUGGAUUCUGAAGUAUUUUACUCUGGAAAAACUGUGCUGGACAUGAGGUCCAUAGACUUCAAGAGCAAUGGUGCAGUGGCCUGGAGCAAAAAGACUGAUUUUGAGUGCACUGGUGUCUUCCAGGAGAAAGUCUCCCUCCCUAGCUCAGAUCAUUCUUGCAAUGCCAAGUUGGUAGAGAAAAGCUUUGAAACAGAUAUGAACCUAAACUUUCAAAACCUGAUAGUGAUCGGGCUCCGCAUCCUCCUCCUCAAAGUGGCGGGAUACAACGUGUUCAUGACGCUGCGGCUGUGGUCCAGCUGAGGUUGGCAAGAUGAUAAGAAGAUCCUGAGCUCCCUCCUUCAUCCCUCCUCUUCUACCCCAUGGAGAAGAAGGCUCCCCUCAUGUCUCUGGCCUCCACGGAAUCCCACCUGAAUUUGCAAUGAAGCUUGCUGGAUUGCUGCUAAUGACUACUGCUUUCCUUCUGUUCCCUCAUGGCGGCUGACAUAGUCAAGUUCAUGUUCACAGCAAAUGGGGAGGCUGCGGCAGCGUCUCCUGGCUGUGGAGGACCUCCCUGCCCUCUCCAAAGACUGCUUCUGUGCUUCCAUUGAAUAAUGGGACUUCCAUAGCAUCUCCAGGAACUAGCAUUCCUAGAAAAUGUUAUGAGCAUUGAUGGAUUUUAUUCAAUAGUGUUCAUAAAAAUACCUUUAUUACUGUUUCUCAAGAUGUGGGGAAAGAUGAUCUCAUUGUCUAGGCCCUCCCUGCUCCGCUAUGUAUCCAAGCUAUACUUUGGAUCAUUCUGCUGCCUUUGACUUCAUUAAAAGUUACUUAGAGACCAGAAA